Molecule: ribosomal RNA, 449 nt
Filed under: uncultured bacterium
Lineage: Bacteria
Description: partial 16S ribosomal RNA
Rfam family: Bacterial small subunit ribosomal RNA
Source: RNAcentral
AACGAACGCUGGCGGCAUGCCUAACACAUGCAAGUCGAACGAGAUCUUCGGGUCUAGUGGCGCACGGGUGCGUAACGCGUGGGAAUCUGCCCUUUGGUUCGGAAUAACAGUUGGAAACAACUGCUAAUACCGGAUGAUGACAAAAGUCCAAAGAUUUAUCGCCAGAGGAUGAGCCCGCGUAGGAUUAGCUAGUUGGUGUGGUAAAGGCGCACCAAGGCGACGAUCCUUAGCUGGUCUGAGAGGAUGAUCAGCCACACUGGGACUGAGACACGGCCCAGACUCCUACGGGAGGCAGCAGUGGGGAAUAUUGGACAAUGGGCGAAAGCCUGAUCCAGCAAUGCCGCGUGAGUGAUGAAGGCCUUAGGGUUGUAAAGCUCUUUUACCCGGGAUGAUAAUGACAGUACCGGGAGAAUAAGCUCCGGCUAACUCCGUGCCAGCAGCCGCGGUAA